UGAGAUGUUGGGUUAAGUCCCGCAACGAGCGCAACCCUUAUCCUUAGUAGCCAGCACGUAAUGGUGGGCACUCUAGGGAGACUGCCAGGGAUAACCUGGAGGAAGGCGGGGAUGACGUCAAAUCAUCAUGCCCCUUAUGAUCUGGGCUACACACGUGCUACAAUGGUGACUACAAAGGGACGCAACCUCGCGAGAGCAAGCAAAUCCCAGAAAGGUCAUCCCAGUUCGGAUUGUAGUCUGCAACUCGACUACAUGAAGCUGGAAUCGCUAGUAAUCGCGAAUCAGAAUGU
This 290-nucleotide ribosomal RNA is filed under the name uncultured bacterium. RNAcentral's name for it is "partial 16S ribosomal RNA". It matches the Rfam family "Bacterial small subunit ribosomal RNA", at positions 1068 to 1357 of the family's 1533-position model. The record is from RNAcentral.